Molecule: ribosomal RNA, 444 nt
Filed under: uncultured soil bacterium
Lineage: Bacteria
Description: bacterial SSU rRNA
Rfam family: Bacterial small subunit ribosomal RNA
Source: RNAcentral
AGAACGAACGCUGGCGGCAUGCCUAACACAUGCAAGUCGAACGAGACCUCCGGGUCUAGUGGCGCACGGGUGCGUAACGCGUGGGAAUCUACCCUUGGGUUCGGAAUAACAGUUGGAAACGACUGCUAAUACCGGAUGAUGACGUAAGUCCAAAGAUUUAUCGCCCAGGGAUGAGCCCGCGUAGGAUUAGCUAGUUGGUGAGGUAAAGGCUCACCAAGGCGACGAUCCUUAGCUGGUCUGAGAGGAUGAUCAGCCACACUGGGACUGAGACACGGCCCAGACUCCUACGGGAGGCAGCAGUGGGGAAUAUUGGACAAUGGGCGAAAGCCUGAUCCAGCAAUGCCGCGUGAGUGAUGAAGGCCUUAGGGUGUAAAGCUCUUUUACCCGGGAAGAUAAUGACUGUACCGGAGAAUAAGCUCCGGCUAACUCCGCGCCAGCAGCCGC